UAAAGGUCACACCAGAUGGGAAAAUCUCAAUGAAGGGGGAGAAGGAGGAGAGGGAAAAAGGCUUUCUGAAGGAAACUAAAUUUGCAUUCAAUGGGAGGUUGAAAUAAAGAUCCACCUCAUUGAAAUUCAGGACUUGCAUCCAACACACAAGUACCCACAGUCCUUUUGGGUUUUUAACAUGAAAGGAAAUCACGCCGUACCAGG
Molecule: long non-coding RNA, 204 nt
Organism: Chiloscyllium plagiosum (whitespotted bambooshark)
Lineage: Eukaryota; Metazoa; Chordata; Chondrichthyes; Orectolobiformes; Hemiscylliidae
Source: RefSeq, a predicted model, not a curated record